GUUCACUGGACAUUGUCUCUGAAGGUGGAGUGGGUUUCACAGACCGAUAACAACCCACGUAGACAGUUAGACAAGCAGUCAGGACGACAUUCACAUUAGGAUCAACCUUCAUAACAAGUGGAGCUAAUGUCAAUCCCGCUAGAGCAAAAUUUGCAAUGCGCUCAGCGUUCUUCAUGUUGGGCAGCUCUCAAUUAAAAACCUUUCACCAAAACUGAUCCGCAAAAUUAAGAUAAUUGUCUCGCAAUUGCUCCCUCAAUCAUCGGCGGCUCGAAGACUUCGAGUGGAUUUGACCACGCAGAUCGGAGAGCUCGCCGAAGAAAGAGAAGGAAUUUUAUUUCACAGAAUUUUCA
Molecule: unclassified non-coding RNA, 350 nt
Filed under: Hevea brasiliensis (rubber tree)
Lineage: Eukaryota; Viridiplantae; Streptophyta; Magnoliopsida; Malpighiales; Euphorbiaceae
Source: RNAcentral